CUACGGGAGGCAGCAGUGGGGAAUAUUGGACAAUGGGCGCAAGCCUGAUCCAGCCAUGCCGCGUGUGUGAUGAAGGCCUUAGGGUUGUAAAGCACUUUCACCGGAGAAGAUAAUGA
Molecule: ribosomal RNA, 116 nt
Filed under: uncultured Rhizobium sp.
Lineage: Bacteria; Pseudomonadati; Pseudomonadota; Alphaproteobacteria; Hyphomicrobiales; Rhizobiaceae
Description: partial 16S ribosomal RNA
Rfam family: Bacterial small subunit ribosomal RNA
Source: RNAcentral